Molecule: long non-coding RNA, 351 nt
Organism: Melospiza melodia melodia
Lineage: Eukaryota; Metazoa; Chordata; Aves; Passeriformes; Passerellidae
Exons: 2
Source: RefSeq, a predicted model, not a curated record
CCUGGCCCCCCCAGAGGAGGGGGAGGUGCUGUACACCCACGUCGUGGUCACCAAGAGGGCAGGGGCGUCCUCUCGUGCCACCACCCUCCAGGAUCCCCAGGUGACCUACGCUGAGCUGCAGAGACCCCAGGGGCGACCACAGGAACCCGGUGACAUCUACGGGAAUGUGCUGUGACACUGGGGGGAACUGGGGGCACUGGGGGUCCCCACCCAUGGGCACCAACUCGUGCGUGUGCUGCCAAUAAAAACUGCCCCUCUCCCUCCCAGUGGGGGCACAAAGAUGCAAAGGGUUGAGAGAAGAACAAUUUCUUGCAAUAGAAAUGAGAGAGAAUAAAACCAACAGAAACCAGA